UAGGGAAUCUUCGGCAAUGGGGGCAACCCUGACCGAGCAACGCCGCGUGAGUGAAGAAGGUUUUCGGAUCGUAAAGCUCUGUUGUAAGUCAAGAACGGGUGUGAGAGUGGAAAGUUCACACUGUGACGGUAGCUUACCAGAAAGGGACGGCUAACUACGUGCCAGCAGCCGCGGUAAUACGUAGGUCCCGAGCGUUGUCCGGAUUUAUUGGGCGUAAAGCGAGCGCAGGCGGUUUGAUAAGUCUGAAGUUAAAGGCUGUGGCUCAACCAUAGUUCGCUUUGGAAACUGUCAA
Molecule: ribosomal RNA, 292 nt
Filed under: uncultured bacterium
Lineage: Bacteria
Description: partial 16S ribosomal RNA
Rfam family: Bacterial small subunit ribosomal RNA
Source: RNAcentral